This 394-nucleotide RNase P RNA is filed under the name Rhizobiaceae bacterium. RNAcentral's name for it is "RNase P RNA component class A". It matches the Rfam family "Bacterial RNase P class A". From Rfam's summary of the family: Ribonuclease P (RNase P) is a ubiquitous endoribonuclease, found in archaea, bacteria and eukarya as well as chloroplasts and mitochondria. The record is from RNAcentral. Lineage: Bacteria; Pseudomonadati; Pseudomonadota; Alphaproteobacteria; Hyphomicrobiales; Rhizobiaceae.
UCAGUUGGCCGGGCAACCGCUUGAAAUUGCUUUAGGCAGUUUUGGGAGGAAAGUCCGGGCUCCAUGGAAUAACGGUGCCGGAUAACGUCCGGCGGGGGCGACCCCAGGGAAAGUGCAGCAGAAAACAAACCGCCCAUCUUUGAUGGGUAAGGGUGAAAAGGUGGGGUAAGAGCCCACCGCAUGAUCGGUAACGAGAGUGGCAGUGUAAACCCCACCGGGAGCAAAACCAAAUAGGGAUGACGUGGUGCAUUGCACCGGCAGUUUCCAGGCUAGUCAUCCGGGUAGGUUGCUUGAGGCGAUUUGACCGUGUAAACGGUGCCCCAGACGAAUGGUUGCAUGAAUUUUGCCUUUGGCGAAAUAAUAACAGAACCCGGCUUAUAGGCCGACUGACACA